This 440-nucleotide ribosomal RNA is filed under the name uncultured bacterium. RNAcentral's name for it is "partial 16S ribosomal RNA". It matches the Rfam family "Bacterial small subunit ribosomal RNA", at positions 338 to 795 of the family's 1533-position model. The record is from RNAcentral.
CCUACGGGAGGCAGCAGUGGGGGAUAUUGCACAAUGGGGGAAACCCUGAUGCAGCGACGCCGCGUGAGUGAAGAAGUAUUUCGGUAUGUAAAACUCUAUCAGCAGGGAAGAAAAUGACAGUAACUGACCAAGAAGCCCCGGCUAACUACGUGCCAGCAGCCGCGGUAAUACGUAGGGGGCGAGCGUUAUCCGGAUUUACUGGGUGUAAAGGGAGCGUAGACGGUUAUGUAAGUCUGGAGUGAAAGCCCGGGGCCCAACCCCGGGACUGCAUUGGAAACUGUGUAACUGGAGUGCAGGAGGGGCAGGCGGAAUUCCUGGUGUAGCGGUGAAAUGCGUAGAUAUCAGGAGGAACACCGGCGGCGAAGGCGGCCUGCUGGACUGAAACUGACGUUGAGGCUCGAAAGCGUGGGGAGCAAACAGGAUUAGAUACCCCUGUAGUC